Molecule: ribosomal RNA, 1241 nt
Filed under: Photinus signaticollis
Lineage: Eukaryota; Metazoa; Arthropoda; Insecta; Coleoptera; Lampyridae
Description: 16S ribosomal RNA
Rfam family: Archaeal large subunit ribosomal RNA (bases 1006-1164)
Source: RNAcentral
AACAAAAUUUGUUAUUAAUUUAUUUUUAUAGAAAAAACUUUUGUUUAUUAUAAAAUAGAAAAAUUAAUUUUAAUAAUAGUAAAUUAGUAAAGUGAUUGAAUCAAUAAAUGUUAAAAAAAGAAAAAUUUAUUUUUUGUACCUUGUGCAUCAGGGCUGAUCAAUAAAAAUUAUUUAAAAUAAUAUUCUCGAAUUUUAAAGAGUUAAUUGAUUAUAAAUUAAACUGUAAAAUAAUUUUUUAUAAUAAUUAAUUAGUAGUGAAACGCUAUUCGAUUUUUAAUAUAUCUAGUUUUUUAAGAAAAGAAUUAAAUUCUAUUAUUUUUUAUUUAAAUUUUAAUUUAAAAAAUUUAAGUUUAAAUAUUAAAAAAUUGAAGGGAUGAUCUUUUAAUUUUAUAUUUAAAAAUUUUAAAAUUUAAUUUUUUGUAUAAUUUGAAUUGUUAAUCAUAAAUAAUUUUAUAGUUAGGAAUUUAUAAAUUAAAAUUUUAGUUUUUUUAGAUUUUUUAUUAAAAAGAAAUAUUUAAUUAAAAAAUUUUUGUUAUAAUGAUUAGAUUAGUAAUAUUUUUUUUAUUUUGUAAAAAAUUACCAAGGUUGGGAAAAGGAAUUCGGCAAAAAAAUUUUCUGCCUGUUUAUUAAAAACAUGUCCUUUUGAUAAUUAUUUAAGGUCUAAUCUGCUCAAUGAAUAAUUUUAAAUAGCUGCAGUAUUUUGACUGUACAAAGGUAGCAUAAUAAUUAGUUUCUUCAUUAGAAACUUGAAUGAAUGAUUUGACAAGAAAAUUUCUGUCUCUUUCUAAUUAUUUUAGAAUUUAACUUUUGAGUUAAAAGGCUCAAAUUUGUAUAAAAGACGAGAAGACCCCAUAGAGUUUUAUUUUUUAUUUUUCUUUAGUAUUAUUAUUAUUUUAAAAAAAUUAGUUGGGGUAACUUAAAGAUAAAAAAAAUUCUUUAAAUUAAAAAUCAUUGAUCUAUGAAUUUAAAAUCUAAUUUAUUAAAUUUAAAAAAAGUUACCUUGGGGAUAACAGCGUAAUUUCUUUUUAGAGUUCUUAUCAAUUAAGAAGAUUGCGACCUCGAUGUUGGAUUAAAAUAAAAUUUAGGUGUAGAAGCUUAAAUGUUAAGUCUGUUCGACUUUUAAAAUUUUACAUGAUCUGAGUUUAAACCGGUGUAAGCCAGGUUGGUUUCUAUCUUUAUUAAAUUGUAGUAUUUUAGUACGAAAGGACCAAAUACUAAAUAUAUUAUUUUAUUUUUGAUUA